RNAcentral lists this ribosomal RNA (196 nucleotides) under uncultured bacterium. RNAcentral's name for it is "partial 16S ribosomal RNA". It matches the Rfam family "Bacterial small subunit ribosomal RNA", at positions 1305 to 1500 of the family's 1533-position model. The record is from RNAcentral.
CUGCAACUCGCCUGCAUGAAGUCGGAAUUGCUAGUAAUCGUAGGUCAGCAUACUACGGUGAAUACGUUCCCGGGCCUUGUACACACCGCCCGUCAAACCAUGAGAGUUGGCAACACCCGAAGUCGGUAGUCUAACCGCAAGGAGGACGCCGCCGAAGGUGGGGUUNAUGAUUAGGGUUAAGUCGUAACAAGGUAGC